RNAcentral lists this ribosomal RNA (497 nucleotides) under uncultured bacterium. Its description in RNAcentral is "partial 16S ribosomal RNA". It matches the Rfam family "Bacterial small subunit ribosomal RNA", at positions 28 to 507 of the family's 1533-position model. The record is from RNAcentral.
GAUGAACGCUGGCGGCGUGCCUAAUACAUGCAAGUCGAGCGAACAGACGAGGAGCUUGCUCCUCUGACGUUAGCGGCGGACGGGUGAGUAACACGUGGAUCACCUACCUAUAAGACUGGGAUAACUUCGGGAAACCGGCGCUAAUACCGGAUAAUAUAUUGAACCGCAUGGUUCAAUAGUGAAAGACGGUUUUGCUGUCACUUAUAGAUGGAUCCGCGCCGCAUUAGCUAGUUGGUAAGGUAACGGCUUAUCAAGGCAACGAUGCGUAGCCGACCUGAGAGGGGGAUCGGCCACACUGGAACUGAGACACGGUCCAGACGCCUACGGGAGGCAGCAGUAGGGAAUCGUCCGCAAUGGGCGAAAGCUUGACGGAGCAACGCCGCGUGAGUGAUGAAGGUCUUCGGAUCGUAAAACUCUGUUAUGAGGUAAGAACAAAUGUGUAAGUAACUAUGCACGUCUUGACGGUACCGAAUCAGAAAGCCACGGCUAACUACGUG